GGAAAAUUAGCCAUAGGUAAGGUGAAUUAUUUGCUAUAUAAUGAAUAUAAAUUUCUGAUGAGUUCGAUUCUCAUAUUUUCCG
Molecule: transfer RNA, 82 nt
Filed under: Eremothecium sinecaudum
Lineage: Eukaryota; Fungi; Ascomycota; Saccharomycetes; Saccharomycetales; Saccharomycetaceae
Description: tRNA-Ser
Source: RNAcentral